GUGCUUGCUUUGGCAGCACACAUACUAAAAUUGGAAUGACACAAAGCAGAUUGGCAUGGUCCCUGCACAAGGAUGACAUGCAAAUUCGUGAAGCACUCCAUAUUUUG
Molecule: small nuclear RNA, 107 nt
Organism: Dromiciops gliroides (monito del monte)
Lineage: Eukaryota; Metazoa; Chordata; Mammalia; Microbiotheria; Microbiotheriidae
Source: RefSeq, a predicted model, not a curated record